Long non-coding RNA from Equus caballus (horse), 3758 nucleotides. The record is from Ensembl. NCBI's taxonomy places the organism in Eukaryota, Metazoa, Chordata, Mammalia, Perissodactyla, Equidae.
CUUCCUCGCCCAUUUGUUCUCGGCGUCAUUUAUCUUCCAACCAGAGUCUAAGAUCUCCCACACCUCUAAUGAGUUAAGAGAAAAACAAAAAGCCUGUGGGGUUUCUUUCUCCCAGAGGGUCUUUUGUGUAUUGCCCUCCCUGAUGGUCGCUGGCUGAGGACACUGGGACUCCCUCUCCUGGAACAACGUCUGAUUAGGGUUGCAGUGGGAUGUGAGUCCUGCCGUGAGCGGUUGUGUCAUCCCAGCCUUCUGGGACCUGGCACCAGCACACUCCUGCCACAGCCACACAGGCUCGGCCCCAGAACUUUUCCAGGUCCUGGUGGCCGAGUCUCCUGGGUGCCUGUUGUGCAGCAGGCACACUCAUGAGCACCCCCCUACACACACACCUGAUCUUCACAACCCCCUGGAGUGGAACCACUGUUCCCAUUCCAAAGGGGAAGAACAAAGACUUCCAGGUUAAGUGUCCCGAGGCAACUUAGCUAGUGAGGGCAGAGCUGGGAUGUAAGCCUGAGCUUUCGAACUCUGGCUUUGCCCCGUCAUUGCUGUCUGUGUCUUCCUGCCUGCGUGCUCGGCUCUGCCUCCUCUCUUUUACACUCGAUGAACCCACUCAACCCCUCAUCACCAGAAGAGAGACAAGAGGAGGAUCCAGAAGAAAACUCCCCCGGUUCUUCCCCGGCCACCUGGAGUCAAGGUCCCCCACAGGCCUGUGCUUUUUAAAAUUAUCCUCAGAAAGAAUCAGUAGCAUUAAUUUUUAACCACUUCUUCCCUCCUGCUUUUCUGCCCUCUUGUUGAUAUUAUUUAACGUGAGGUUUAGGCAGUGUUUCUCUAACAGUAUCUGUCACACUGCGUUUCAGGGGUUUUCUCUCCCUUUGUUCAAGGCAGCUCAUUUCUAUCCAUUCACGAAACAAUCUGUUCGAGACUGCCCUGAACUGAAGGCUUCUUGGUGGCUAUUUUGCUGCCGUGGAAUCCUCAGGGGCAGCUUUGGGGGCCCAGCCAGGGGACAGAGGAAAAUGCAUGUUACCACAGACCAGUGAUGGCUGAACCGAAGAAAGUCAGUCACACUAAAACACAAUCCAUAAAAUAAACAGACUUCAUCAAAAUUAAAACCAUUUGUGCUUCAAAAGACCCCACUAAGAAAAUGAAAAAGCAGGUCACAGACUGGGAGAAAAUAUUUGCAAAUCGUGUAUUUAAUAAAGGACUUGUGUCCAGAAUCUAUGAAGAACACUUAUAACUAGGUAAGAAGGAGACAAAUAACUCAAUUAAAAAUGAGCAAAAGAUUUAAAUAGAUAUUUCAACAAAGAAGAUAUAGACAUAUUUUAGAAGCAUAUGAAAAUGUGCUUCAUGUCAUUACUCAUCAAAGCAAUGCAAAUUAAAACAAAUUACCUUUUUACACUCACUAGAAUGGCUAAAAUGGAGACAAUAACAAGUGUUGAAGAGGAUGAGGAGAAAUGGGAACCUUCACACAUUGCUGAUGGGGACGUCAAAUGGUACAGCCACUUUGGGAAAGGGUUGGGUAGUUCCUUAACAAGUUAAACAUCAACUCACCAUACAACCCAGCAAUUCUGAAGUAGCUGUGCAGGAGAAAUAAACCCAGCAGCUACACAAAGACUUUUAGCGAAUCUUCAUCCCAGUAUUGGUCAUAAUAGUCAAACAUCAAGCCAACUGAAAGAAAGGAGGUGUACAGAAGAGUCCAUACAUACUCCAUUUAUAUGAAAUCUUUAGAGACAGAAAUGAGACUAGUGCCUGAGGCUGAGGGUAGAGUGGAAAUUCACUACAAGUGGGCAUAAGGGAACUUUCUGGGGCAAUAGAAAAGUUCUAAAACUGAGCGUGGUGAUGGUUGCACAACAGCCAACUGGUUAAAAAUAACAACACUUGCAGUGGGUAAAUCUUAUGGCACGUAAACUAGAGAAUUGCUUUUUUUUUUAUUUCAACUUUGCUAAGUUUUUAUCUUUAGCUUUAUUGACUUUUGAACCCAUGAGCCCAUCCUACUUGGUCAUGCAUUUAUUCACUUCUGGGAAAACUCUAGCAUCAUGUGGCAGAGAGGGUCCAAACACCCUGCAUUGUCCUUUGGUGCCAUUUGCCUGCUUGGCCACUGAGGGACAUAAACUACAAAUAGACUUGAAAGUGUAGGUUGAGUUCCUUUAGUGGGCAUACCAAAUUGUGACAGUGUUGGUCAAUGUCUUCAAAAUCUAACACUAAAUAAACAGACACGUUUGAAAUGCUGACUGUUAAACAUGAAAGGUUGUUUUCACUUUGCUCAGUCAAUUAAAAGAUUUAAAGACAAGUGGGAACAAGGCCACAUAUUUUAUCAGGGUCAAAUUUUUUCAUCAAAAUCUGGGUCCUCUGUUACUCGUCAGAUCGGGCCUCCUCUUGCAAAGGGAGCAUCAGCCUAUCCUGGCUGCUUGUUGGUAGGUCAGGAACAUUUGCCAUGUGUCCUCGCCCGUCAAGCAUCAUGUGGCCUCUUCAGGGCUGUGCUAUUUUAGUAAGGGGAAUUAUCCCACUCGGGCAAAGGGCCAGCGGCUGAAGAAACCAGACCUGAAGUGGCUGAUGGACAGACGCCCCUGUUGGGGCUUUCAGUAGCUGGGGUGAAAUUACACUUCCCUGUCAGGCUACCAACACAACUGUUAUUCCGCACAGGUCAGCACUGGGCUCUGUGUGCACACCUGUGGCAGUGACCUGUCAUUACCAAAAACCAUUUAAUGUGUGAAGGUAGCAACCAGAGCAGCAGCUCCCCUGGAGGCCUAUUCAGUGGUCCCGUUCCCAAACUCACUUCUGGAGGCCUGGCCUGCGAUAUACUCCUCCAGCCUUUCCAAAACUUUCUAAGUACAAAAUUCCUUGAAAUAAUGCUCAUCUGAUUAAAAUAUCUAGAAUGGUUUCUGCUCCCUGCAAAUGAUGCCUGAUGAUACACCUCCCCUUGGGAAGGGAGUGGAGUGAAGCUCGGGGCACAUCAACAACCAGGCUGCAACCUCCCUUUGGACAUCCCGUUGUGAACUCCCGGAGGCAGGCCUCGUUUCCAGCCGGGCCGAGCUCUUCCAGAGCUGCUGUGUCCUUGUCAUGCUCCAUCACGUGAAAAGGGCCCACUGUGCUUGGAACAGCGCAGUUCCCUAAGAAGGAAGAUGAUCUCUUCAUCUAUAUAUUUUUACAUACUCAAGAACCUAUCCAGUGUUUUAUUUACUUGACUAAUGACAUUCCCAACUGAAAAGCACUGACCCAGUCCCUUGACUCAUCUUUGAACUGGCCUCAGGAGCAGGCAGAGAGGUGGAAAACCUUCAGCAGCCUGAGACGAGCAGUUUCUCUCCAGAAUAUUCACUCCACCGACUACCACUGCAUCCCAGAGGGAUGGAUUCUUGGCUUGGUUUCGUUCACUGACAAAAUGCAGACAGCCCAGUCAUGUGAAAGUUGAGCCUCUGGCCCAGAAGCCCUCACCCGAGCUCAUCCUGACCUGUCUUCGGAGCAGGUUUUGACGAAAGGAAGCAGAGAGAACACAAGGGCCGUGGCCAGCAGCACGGAGGAAUGUGUGUGGCCUCCCUCCCCUCCCCCAAGCCACCCCACAUAAAAUAAGAGAAAUAUUGUUUGAGGUGAAUAAUUAACUUUCUCUUAAUAUUGUGUAAAGUAUACAUAAAAACUUCCUUUGGAAACUCUGCUAUUUGUCUUGCUUGAUAAUAGACUCUAAGCAAAAAAUGGUUUGCUCGCUCUAGAGAUGCAACUUUAAGACAAGUCCUGCAGCCGCUCCUUCCACUCGGUUUGCUGCCCCGAGG